CAUUAACGUAGCCCGCGGUUGCCCGCGGAGGGCAUCCUCGGGUUGGACCGCAGGGCCCGGCAACCCUGUGCCCUUCCGUCCUUCGCUAGCAGCCGCUCUUCCUCGGCAGCGUCAAGGAAGGCACUACAGAAGAGGAGGAAACUGAGACUGACAGAAGUUACAUAAUUAUUAGUCCAAGAUCUCAAAACUAGGAAGUGGCAGAACCGGAACUGGAGCCCGAGCAAUCUGGAACUAGACUGAACUCUUAACCCCCACCUUCCAUAGCACAAUUAUUAAGACAGUAAGAAAAAUGCCCAAGGAGUCUACGGCCCAGAAUGACACUGUGAAUUCAUUUGUCCAUCAAAUAUUUAUUGAACACCGUAGUGGGUUGAAUAGUGUCCCUCCCCAAAAUUAAUGUCCACCCCGAACCUAAGAAUGCAAUCUUCCUUAUUUAGAAAUAGGGUCUUUGCAGAUGUAAUUAUUUAAAAUGAGAUUAUACUCAAAAGGGUGGGCCCUAAAUACAGAGUGUCCUUGUAUGAGACAGAAAAGGACAGAGACGUGGAGAAGAAGGUCUUGUGAAAAUGGAGGUGAGAUUGGAGUUAUGUGUCUAUAAGCCAAGAAACACCAAGGACUGACACCCACGACCAGAAGCAGCAGAGAAGCCUGGAACAGUUUCUCCUUCAGAGUUUCCAGAAGGAACCAAUUCUGCUGACACUUUGAUUUUGGACUUCUGGCCUCUUGAACUGUGAGAGAAUAAAUUUCAUCUGUUUCAA
Long non-coding RNA from Equus quagga, 752 nucleotides. RefSeq lists it as uncharacterized. The transcript has 2 exons. Lineage: Eukaryota; Metazoa; Chordata; Mammalia; Perissodactyla; Equidae. The record is from RefSeq and is a predicted model, not a curated record.